This 253-nucleotide ribosomal RNA is filed under the name uncultured bacterium. RNAcentral's name for it is "partial 16S ribosomal RNA". It matches the Rfam family "Bacterial small subunit ribosomal RNA", at positions 524 to 776 of the family's 1533-position model. The record is from RNAcentral.
UACGUAGGGUGCGAGCGUUGUCCGGAAUUAUUGGGCGUAAAGGGCUCGUAGGCGGUUUGUCGCGUCGGGAGUGAAAACCUUGGGCUUAACUCAGGGCUUGCUUUCGAUACGGGCAGACUAGAGGUAUGCAGGGGAGAACGGAAUUCCUGGUGUAGCGGUGAAAUGCGCAGAUAUCAGGAGGAACACCGGUGGCGAAGGCGGUUAGCUGGGCAGUUGCUGACACUGAGGCGCGACAGCGUGGGGAGCAAACAGG